CAGUCGCGGCGGUCCUGGACGGCGGUGCCGGGAUGAGUGGACUUGAGGGUGAGAUGACUCACGGGGCGAAGAAGUUUCUGGCGGACCAGGGAGCUCCUCUUCGUGCUCUGGCUCGACGCUUCGUGCGUUCCCUUGAGCCCGGUCUUAAGGAGAGCGAUGGUGGGGCUUGAGUCUUGUUGCCUUUCGAAGUGACAAGGUACCCCAGCUGCUUAGUUAUGCGAUGUUGGAUAUCCACUUAUGUCAUGGCCUCAUGACUUGCAUGUUCUAGGCUUAGACAUAGAGGUUGUAAGGCAGCUUUUUUGAUGUGUUUCAUGCUUUGCUAUGUAGUCAACAUUGUCGGAAAUGUCAACUUAGCUCGGCAUGUAUUUUCUUAUGUUUUCACCAUGUAGUCAACAUUAUCGGAAAUGUUAACUUGGCUCAACAUGUGUCCUUUGGAGUACUAUAUUUCCUUCUUGCAAA
This 459-nucleotide long non-coding RNA is filed under the name Brachypodium distachyon (stiff brome). RNAcentral's name for it is "long non-coding RNA (BDIS_LNC000320)". Lineage: Eukaryota; Viridiplantae; Streptophyta; Magnoliopsida; Poales; Poaceae. The record is from RNAcentral.